CAGCAGAGACAAAUAAUGACUCCUGAAACAUUUCAGAAUCAAAAAGUUAAAACGGUGUUUCAGUGAUACUACAUCUUGCCAGACGCGGGCUAAUGGUUUGAAGAUAUUGGCCUAGCAAGAUGGCAACGAGCUUAAAAAAUAGGAUUCCUAUGAAGUUACUUUUCUCAGACAUCUCAAACCCCCAAACGAGAGAAGAUACU
Long non-coding RNA from Neogale vison (American mink), 200 nucleotides. RefSeq lists it as uncharacterized. The transcript has 3 exons. NCBI's taxonomy places the organism in Eukaryota, Metazoa, Chordata, Mammalia, Carnivora, Mustelidae. The record is from RefSeq and is a predicted model, not a curated record.